UCAGGUCAUGUUUAUCUGCCUGUCAGGACUGUUGGAGCACUGGAUGGAGAGCAGGUCAUAUGAGGAGGAUUACGGAGUAAAAGGCAGCUUGUACUGAAGUGCAGGGAAAGUAUAAAUAUUGAUAUAUAUUGGCACAGCGCCUGGCCUUAAUGCUUAAAAUCCUUUGGAGAGCUGUCUGCAUAUUUACUGUAUUAAUGAUCAAAUGCAAGGCUGUGUUGGGAAAGGUCUUCCAUUUGGAAGUCAGUAGUUGAGACUGUCUUGCCUAUGAAAAAGAGGGAGAAUUUUCGUUAGAGGAUGUAGGAUUCUGGCUGGUAAUAGUCUUAAUUCAAGGUAUUUUUAGAGAAUUGAUUUAAUACAAGCAGAACAAAUGGCCAGAAGUGUAACGAGAGACAAGUUGAAAUUAGAAAGUAGAUGUGCAUUUUGAAUGUAUUGUCAUAGCAACUGAUUAAAUUCUCCCUCUCUUGCUGUUCUGGGGACCUUUUAAAUGUGCUUUGGCUAAAUAAAAAGUAUUAGACUAUUUCAGAGCCAAAAGGUCAGUUCUUGUUGUCUCUUUUGCACUUUAAUUCUAGUACACUGAUACUUGCUAACCACUUAUAACCCUAGAUGCAGAAUGAGAACUUGGGUUAUUAACAAUAAAGAAGUAAACAGCAGAAAGACUUGACCUUUCUUUUGAAUUGCCCUACAGUGUUACAAAGUACCAAACAAACCUCCUUCCCCAAAGAAACACCCCCCAAAAUACCCCAACAACUCACCAAACACAAAAUCACCGACAACCAAAAAGCAGAAGUAACAAACAUGAACAGCAAGUGGAGGAAGAGUUUGAAAGCGGGCUGGACAGAAGCAGAAGUGUUACUGCCCACUCUUAGGCCACUGUGCUGAUUAAAUGGGUGUUGUUAGGUUUAGAUUAGUAGUUCGUUGUUGUUGGGUUUUUCGGUGGUGUUGAUUUUUUUUGUUGUCGUUGUGGGGGAUUGUUUGUUUGUUUGUUUUUAUUUUGGUUUUUUUUCUGUAUUAAAAAUCUGGCUCAGUUACUCUCUAGUUCUGGUGUGUUCUCUUUUCCAGGUGGUUGGUGUUUCUGCAGUGUUUGGCACAGGACUGGGGGAGAUUUUUACCCAGCUUUCUAAAGCUGUAGAUGAGUAGGAGAGACUGAAUGCACUCCCUUUAUUCACCUUUUCAGAGAGUAUCGGCCAGAAUACGAGCGCCUGAGAAAAACACUGAAUUGCCACGAGAGGAAAUACUUCAGAGGGGCUUCCCUCCAGAUAAGCCCUGAAUGUGCCAGGAGGUUUCAGCCGGGAGAAAGGAGCUGUGGAAGAAAAGCAGCCUAAAAAUAGCCAGUGGGGAUCAUCAGGUUUUCCAGGCAAGAAGAACAAGGAGAGAGAUGAGGGAAUCGGGUUCCAAUUCCUAAUGAUUUGGUGGGUGCAGGAAUGAUUUGUGUGUGUUUUCCAGUCCCUUUUGAUUCCUGAGAUGAUUUUAAAAUGAUGGCUUUAGCAAUCAACUAAAUCGGAGGUGUUGUUUUUGAGAGGAAAUGAUGCCAAAUAAAUGCAGAGUUUUGGGUCAGUU
Pseudopipra pipra is the source of this 1557-nucleotide long non-coding RNA. RefSeq lists it as uncharacterized. The transcript is spliced from 3 exons. The record is from RefSeq and is a predicted model, not a curated record. NCBI's taxonomy places the organism in Eukaryota, Metazoa, Chordata, Aves, Passeriformes, Pipridae.